CAACUCUAUGGUCAACUUUAACUAAAAGUUGCACUGAAAGACCUAGAGAUUCCUAAAGAGAAUAACUAGGCAUUUGUAGCUCCUCCAGUGCCGUUCUAUGGUCAAUGUCUGUUGGACGAUGAUCACAGAGCUGUACUGGAAGACCUAGAGAUUCCUAGAGAGGUGUCCUCUCAAGUAAAAACAUGGUGUUUUUGUUAUUUGCAGUUUUCCCAUAUUCAUGGGGUGCUUGUGCCUCUGACCCUAGUGAAUAUGGAGGGACAAGUGUAGAGAGGGCUCUCAGUCUGAGGUACGAUGUUCAGCUUUCUUGUUCAAAUUAUUCUAAAACUGGGAAUUCUGUCCCAAGGGAAGAUCUCAGUUGUUCAUGACACCAUUAUAAUAACCUCCUUUUAAGACAAUGAUACUCUGGAGGAUGCAAGGUGCCUUUAUCAAGAACAUCAAAAUAGUUGUUUCACUUACCAUUGGUCUCUGACUUUUUCCCUGUUGCUGUUACCUAUAUCAUAAAGAAGAAAAAGCUACAGAUAUAAUAUAUAUGUAAAACCUACAAUAACAUCAAAUCUUAGCUUACUUGAUAAGACAGUAUCCAGAAUAAAAUAAUGAGCUGAAUUAUACAUCUGAGUUCACAGAAGUGGUCCCAUAUGAACAUUACCUUUGUGGGAGAAGAGACCUUUUCAACUGAUUGCUUCUCCCAGAGGUUGCGUUUGCCGGACACAUCUCCAGGUCUUAAAUCCUAUUUGAUAUGAAAAGCCAAAAGCAAGAAGGAUGUAAAAAAGAAAGUGACAAGAUCUGUAUCCUUUACAUACCUUAAUAUAUCCAUAGUGGCUUGACCCAUUUUAAAAGACUUGCAUGAAUGGGUAGUGUGGUUUUGGACUGGGGUGGUAGAGUCAGCUUAGUAAAGUAGCUCAUAAACAGAUUUACCUGACUAUAAUAGAAAACAGCCAGUCCCAGAGAAGAACAGAAGAGCAGGUAUCUUUACAGGAUUCCAGACAAGAAGGCAAUGAUGAAAGAGAAGAGAGCAAGCAACUGAGAAAUGGAGGAUGAUUAGAAGAAAGGACAGCAGUACAGUAUCUGAACACACUGAGAGCCUCCACCAAGAAAACAGUCAAAUUACACAAGAUUUUUCAUACUUCUUGUGAACAUUUUCCACAAAUUUUCAUAUAAAGGUGAAAAUGAACAUACCUUCCCAUUCUGUGUCAAAAAAUAAAAAAGAAGUAUUUUUUGUGUAAAACUAACAUUUUUGAACCUUCUGAAGGAAAAUGUUGGGUUCAGAAAAAAGAUGUAUUUUUGCACUUUUUUGUGCAUACUAUCUUUUAAAAAAAAGUUCUGAUUUGAAAAAUCAUCAAAAAAAAUGCACAAAACCUCUUAUAAUCUCACCCAGUGUAGAGAAAACUUUUGACAUUAUUCAUUUUUGUAUGUCAAGAUGAAAUAAAGAUAAUAUUUAGAUCCUC
Sceloporus undulatus (fence lizard) is the source of this 1445-nucleotide long non-coding RNA. RefSeq lists it as uncharacterized. The record is from RefSeq and is a predicted model, not a curated record. The transcript has 2 exons. Lineage: Eukaryota; Metazoa; Chordata; Lepidosauria; Squamata; Phrynosomatidae.